AUUUCUUCGGAUUGAAGCAAUUGUGACUGAGCGGCGGACGGGUGAGUAACGCGUGGGUAACCUGCCUUAUACAGGGGGAUAACAGUCAGAAAUGGCUGCUAAUACCGCAUAAGCGCACAGUACCGCAUGGUACCGUGUGAAAAACUCCGGUGGUAUAAGAUGGACCCGCGUUGGAUUAGCUUGUUGGUGGGGUAACGGCUCACCAAGGCGACGAUCCAUAGCCGGCCUGAGAGGGUGAACGGCCACAUUGGGACUGAGACACGGCCCAGACUCC
Molecule: ribosomal RNA, 274 nt
Filed under: uncultured Blautia sp.
Lineage: Bacteria; Bacillati; Bacillota; Clostridia; Lachnospirales; Lachnospiraceae
Description: partial 16S ribosomal RNA
Rfam family: Bacterial small subunit ribosomal RNA
Source: RNAcentral